Molecule: transfer RNA, 72 nt
Filed under: Pangasianodon gigas (Mekong giant catfish)
Lineage: Eukaryota; Metazoa; Chordata; Actinopteri; Siluriformes; Pangasiidae
Description: tRNA-Gly
Rfam family: tRNA
About the family: Transfer RNA (tRNA) molecules are approximately 80 nucleotides in length. Their secondary structure includes four short double-helical elements and three loops (D, anti-codon, and T loops).
Source: RNAcentral
UCCCUGGAGGACUAAUGGUUAGGCCUCGGCCCUGCCACCGCCGUGGCCCAGGUUCGAUUCCCGGCCAGAGAA